RNAcentral lists this transfer RNA (73 nucleotides) under compost metagenome. Its description in RNAcentral is "tRNA-Gln". It matches the Rfam family "tRNA". From Rfam's summary of the family: Transfer RNA (tRNA) molecules are approximately 80 nucleotides in length. Their secondary structure includes four short double-helical elements and three loops (D, anti-codon, and T loops). The record is from RNAcentral.
UCCCCGUUCGUCUAAUGGUAGGACUGCAGUUUCUGGUACUGCGUAUCGUGGUUCGAAUCCAUGACGGGGAGCC